Long non-coding RNA from Vombatus ursinus (common wombat), 518 nucleotides. RefSeq lists it as uncharacterized. NCBI's taxonomy places the organism in Eukaryota, Metazoa, Chordata, Mammalia, Diprotodontia, Vombatidae. The transcript is spliced from 4 exons. The record is from RefSeq and is a predicted model, not a curated record.
GAGACAGCUCCCAGAGAGACAGGCCUAGAUCUGCCCUUGGAUCCAGGGCGAGGAGGAGAAGAGGGUAGUCAGAGAAAGCCCCGUUCAUCAUCGCUGUAACUAUCUAACCCAGCAUCUCUCCCUGACUACCACUCCUCUAUGUGUAGGUGAAGGGGGCAAUUUUUAGGGCACCUUUUCAACCCCUUCCUCAUGCUAGGAGAUGAAGUCCUUCCAAAAGGCUGCUCAGACACCCGGGGCAUGCUGGAUCCUACUGCUGCAUCCAGUGAGAAGACCCUAUGGCUUGGGCCAUCGGUGUGCAGGGUGGUGACUACCGCUCCCAGCAUGUCCACACCUGCUGCUUUGCCACUUGCCUGUUGCCACAGGACUUUGAGAGUCAUUGGAGUCCAGUGGCAAGAAAAAGUCAAGAUGACUGGUGAUGGUUCGGGGUGCAGAGGAUGACUCUAGGGUCUCUAAGUGCUCCACAGGGCCUGCUUCAGCCACCUUCUUGGACCUUGGACCAAAUUGUUCUCAUCUACCUA